This 977-nucleotide unclassified non-coding RNA is filed under the name Leishmania donovani. RNAcentral describes it as "gene:LdHU3.30.3680(CDS-product:Translation_machin ery_associated_TMA7_putative)". The record is from RNAcentral. Lineage: Eukaryota; Euglenozoa; Kinetoplastea; Trypanosomatida; Trypanosomatidae.
CUCACUACCUCCCGCACCUCCCUCCCUCCGACUCCACACCGCUCUUUUCCUUCCACCCUUUUUCUGCUCACCAAGUCAGCAUGUCGUCCCGCCAGGGUGGUAAGCAGAAGCCGCUGAAGCAGCCCAAGAAGGAGCGCUGUGAGAUGGCAGAGGAGGACAUAGCCUUCAAGCAGAUGCAGCGUGAGCAGAAGAAGGCUGAGAAGGAGGCGAUAGCGAAGAUGAAGAAGUAGAGAUGCCACCGCACCGCGCGCAGGCUCGCCGUUUUUUCUUUCUCUUGUGCGUUGUCGGCCGCCCCACCACCACCUUCUUCGUUUUUUUUCCUUCCCUUCUUUAUUUUCGUUCCAGUCAGCGUGUUUGUGCGCGUGCGUUCUGUUCGCGCGUUGCGCGACGAGUGAGCAGGGAGUCGCACUGCGUCUGUCACGGAAGGCGCACGGUGUUGUGUUGCGUUGAUUUGCCUUUAUGAGCUCGCCCUUGUUUCGCACGCCGCAGGGUACAGCAGUCGUGUGAAUCCUUGGGCCAGGUGCUCACUUUCGUGUCGUAAUAGAUGAUAACCAGAGAGUCAGAGUGCACCUCCGUGUGUGGCCUGCUGUUCGAGCACGUCAUUCCGUCGAGGAGUCCGAUCUAGGGAGCGAGAGAACUAAAGCAAAAUGUGGAUGGAAAGAUAGAAAAGAGGUGCUGGCUGUAGGACGGUGAAUCGUGUCCCACCAGUGUAAGCCGCCGCUUGAAAAGGGAACGAGCCCUGCCCACUUGACAAGCCUUCUUGCACCGCGUAUCUGACGGCCUCUUCAACAGUGCCCCAAGGAACGCCUUUACGUGCGCGUCUGCGUUUGUGCUUGGCGCACGUGUGCCACUGCGCCUGUGGCUCACUGCGUCUCUCCUGCAGCUCUUUGGACGCCGCUUCACCUUCUUUGCCUCCCACCUCUUUCCUUUGCCUUCCGGCCUUCGCUCCGUCUUCAUCCUCGCAUGCCCGCUUGCAG